RNAcentral lists this ribosomal RNA (510 nucleotides) under uncultured bacterium. RNAcentral's name for it is "partial 16S ribosomal RNA". It matches the Rfam family "Bacterial small subunit ribosomal RNA", at positions 28 to 507 of the family's 1533-position model. The record is from RNAcentral.
GACGAACGCUGGCGGCGUGCUUAACACAUGCAAGUCGAACGAAGAGCGAUUGAAGCUUGCUUCUAUCAAUCUUAGUGUCGAACGGGUGAGUAACGCGUAAUCAACCUUCCCUUCAGAGGGGGACAACAGUUGGAAACGACUGCUAAUACCGCAUACGAUCUAAUCUCGGCAUCGAGGGUAGAUGAAAGGUGGCCUCUACAUGUAAGCUAUCACUGAAGUAGGGGAUUGCGUCUGGUUAGCUAGUUGGAGGGGUAACGGCCCACCAAGGCGAUGAUCAGUAGGCGGUCUGAGAGGAUGAACGGCCACAUUGGGACUGAGACACGGCCCAGAAUCCUACGGGAGGCAGCAGUGGGGAAUCUUCCGCAAUGGACGAAAGUCUGACGGAGCAACGCCGCGUGAGUGAUGACGGCCUUCGGGUUGUAAAGCUCUGUUAAUCGGGAAGAAAGGCCUUCUUGCGAAUAGUGAGAAGGAUUGACGGUACCGGAAUAGAAAGCCACGGCUAACUACGUG